This 371-nucleotide small RNA is filed under the name Pan troglodytes (chimpanzee). RNAcentral's name for it is "retained intron". The record is from RNAcentral. Lineage: Eukaryota; Metazoa; Chordata; Mammalia; Primates; Hominidae.
CUGAAUGCCAAGGGAACAGAAGCACCCGCAGUAGUGACAGAGGAGGAGGAUGAUGAUGAAGAGACUGCUCCUCCCGUUAUUGCCCCGCGACCGGAUCAUACGAAAUCAAUUUACACACGGUCUGUAAUUGACCCUGUUCCUGCACCAGUUGGUGAUUCACAUGUUGAUGGUGCUGCCAAGUCUUUAGACAAACAGAAAAAGAAGACUAAGAUGACAGAUGAAGAGAUUAUGGAGAAAUUAAGUAUGUUAUCUACAUUUUACAUCAUUGUUAAAUUGUUCACAGCUCUUAAAACAUUUGGCCCAGACGGAUUUUAACUUACACUUUACACUGUGACUUAAAGUAUAAAGAAUAAAUUGUUUCCUUAUAGCAA